GUCUCUAUGGUGCAUUUGGUUAGCGCGUUUGGCUGUUAACUGAAAAGUUGGUGGUUCAAGCCCACUCAGGGACU
This is a non-coding RNA of Fukomys damarensis (Damara mole-rat), 74 nucleotides long. The record is from Rfam. Lineage: Eukaryota; Metazoa; Chordata; Mammalia; Rodentia; Bathyergidae.